Molecule: long non-coding RNA, 246 nt
Filed under: Theobroma cacao (cacao)
Lineage: Eukaryota; Viridiplantae; Streptophyta; Magnoliopsida; Malvales; Malvaceae
Description: long non-coding RNA (TCAC_LNC002951)
Source: RNAcentral
GACUGUGUUUUUCAAACUAAAAAUAUGUUUACGUGUAUACGAAAUUUUUAACAGCCUUGGCGGACUAGGUUAAAUUCCUCGGCCAAGGUAUUCCCGAGAAUGAUUUUGGCAGGAGCCAAGCUUUUAAGAUACUCAUAAGCCAUGUUGAUUAUUUAAAUGAAAUGAAUAUUUAUGUUAUGAAUUACAUAUUGAGAUGGAAUAUUUUAAUCGUCUCCAUUUACUCGACUUUAGAUAUUUUGAAUGGUG